AGUGUCGCUGCUUUCGUCUGUAACAUAACAUGUCUCUGGUUGCUGGUCCGAAACCGCUUACGUCCGUUGGGGCACCUUAGAUGCCGAUGCAUAUUUACCAUCACCUUUCCAGGUAGCCGUCCCUAAUUUUGCAAUGAUAGACUAUAGGGAAGGCAGCUGGUCAACACCACCCACCGUCAACUCUUGCACUAUUGUUUCACCAACGAGUAGUGAGAUUGACUGUGAGUUUAUAACGCUCCCACGGUUGAUAGGGUGAUGUCAUUUUAAGGACUUAUAACUCUAAAGUUCGGGGUUCGAUUCCCCGUGGUGGACGGAG
This is a long non-coding RNA of Limulus polyphemus (Atlantic horseshoe crab), 316 nucleotides long. RefSeq lists it as uncharacterized. The transcript has 4 exons. Lineage: Eukaryota; Metazoa; Arthropoda; Merostomata; Xiphosura; Limulidae. The record is from RefSeq and is a predicted model, not a curated record.